CUGUCAUCACCAAUUGUUAUGCUAUUACUUAUAACUUUAAAGGUAUUUCCUCUUUCAAAUUGUUGGGAUAUGCUUGUAAAACUCUCUCAGUGUUAAUAAAUGGAAGUUUUGGUUUCUCUAACCAUAGUCUCUGAAUCUCUGGAGCUGUUGCCUCAUUACCUGUCCUUAUCCACAAUGUACCAUCAUUCACCGUUAAGGCCUAACGCCUUUCGUUUUCGUUCGUCGGUCUCGAGUGUUUCACAUGUAUAUAUAUUUUUUAAUUUGUGUAUAAAUUGUAUAAUGUUCAAGAACAAAACUAAGCAUUUAUACUAUAAUUGGAGAUAAUAUUUCUAGUUCUUUUGAAAUGGAAUCCACUUUAUAACAUCUCUACUUGAUUUUUCAUACACAUUUUCAAGAACACAUUGUAUAUGAAAGUAGAGGAGAAUUUGUA
Molecule: long non-coding RNA, 430 nt
Filed under: Androctonus crassicauda
Lineage: Eukaryota; Metazoa; Arthropoda; Arachnida; Scorpiones; Buthidae
Source: RNAcentral